This is a long non-coding RNA of Numida meleagris (helmeted guineafowl), 6080 nucleotides long. RefSeq lists it as uncharacterized. Lineage: Eukaryota; Metazoa; Chordata; Aves; Galliformes; Numididae. The record is from RefSeq and is a predicted model, not a curated record. The transcript is spliced from 3 exons.
CAUCCACUGCAGCACUCCAGCUGUGGUAGCAACCCCACCAUGUUCCCAUGACAGCAACUAGGUCAUAGUUUGCCUGACACACAAUAGCAUCCAGCUUCUCCUCUUUGUUGCCUAUGCUGCAUGUAUUGGUGUAGAUGCACUUCAGCUGAGUCCCUUGCCCCACUCCCAGUCUGUCAUAGUUUCCCUACACUCAUCUCUAGCGGGCCUGGUUUUAUCUCCUUCCCCCUUCAUACGUAGCUGUCAUGGCAUUAUCUAAGAAUCUGUGUCCAUGACAAGGGGGACAGGCCCAGAAAAAAGAAAAAGAGAGAAAAGAAAAAAAAAUUGUCAGCGGGUAGGGGCCGGCCCUGAGCAGUCUAAAACAGCAGGGGAGCCGCGGACCCACACCCUGGGGAAAACAAAGGGAGAAGGGGAAAGAGGCAGCCUUGAGGAGUAGAGUCAACCGCCUCACCCUAGACAAUCCUGUGGGUGAACCUCCCACCGCAUCAUCACUCACCUCCCGCUCAAGUUCCAGAGACUCAAACCUAUAGGGGUUUCCAUAGGGGAAUCUGAGGAAACAAGCCAGACCAAAACCAGUCACUGAGGAAGUGGGAAGGACAAGACAUCUGUGAACACACAGCCCCACUGCAUCUGACACACAACUAGCUUUGCCUGCUGCCUGUGUUCCACAAGAUCUGUCACAGGAGCCACUUGCCCCAAACUUCUGAAUGUUUACUGGUCACAUCUCUUAGCAGCUGUUCAACGGAGCCCAAAGGACAGGGCAGCCUACAGCACAGCUCCAGACUAAAUAAUUGGUUCUAGAAGGUCCAUUAUUGGCUAGGAAUCACAACGCUUUAUGAGAUUUGACCUUUAGAAUUUUAUCAGUUUUCAGAAUAUUGUCCCUUUCAGUGCCUAGACAAGAGUGGAAAGAAGAGAUACAAGCUGCUCAUUAGAUACAGUGCACUAAAAUCAGAGGGCCUUCUCCAUGCUGUGUUUGAAAGAUUGGAUUUACAGAGACAAAAUGAACAUACUGCUCUUCCACAGACAAUAAAAGAGCAAAAUAUCAUCCAUCAGAGUACAUACUGAAAAGUGAAGCCUAAGGGUGAAAACAAUUUGCUACAGAAAAUACAUUUUGUUUUAGCCUUGUCUGAAUCCAUCAACAUUCACCCCUACUUCUUCCCUGGUAACACUAACAGAUGAGAGUAAAAGUAGCCCAUCUCUAACCUACUCUAAGAAACUGAGCUUGCAAGCCAGGUCGCUUGUGAUGGCAAGAAAUCCAUUUGUGACUAAAGACAAAGCAACUCUUUCCAAAAAUCAGGAUUACAAUAAGGAAUUUUUAUCUCCUAAGCUAAUGAGAAAACAGCAGGAAAAGUUGUGCAUAAUAGGAUGCUGACUCUUCUGUCCUUCACUUUCUACUCCAUGUAGCACUGAACAGAACAGAUACUACUGCAGAUAUACAGUUGUUUCAUCAAAACCCAAAGUCACGUAACUCAUCAUAGUAUAAAGAAUUAAUUUUACUAUUUUUCAGGAGUUGUUUCUGUCCUCUGAGAAAGAAAGGAGUAUUUCCCAAAAAGAAUCCUUAAUAGAAGCAACUUCUGCAGUUUGAAUUAAUCAGUCUGUGCUUUGCAACAGUAAAAUUUCAGCACAAGCAGCUAAUUUAUGUUAGUUCUUCUAGUGCUCAGAGCACAUGCAUUAAUCACUGUAUUUUUUACUUGAAAUUCAUGUAUGUUUAGCACUAGAUAGUCUCCCAUCAAAAAGCUCCACUUUACAUUUAGAUCUAUUAACCUUUCCCAUAAAAGAAGUAUAAAUAUCCCUCACAUUCAAAUGAAGUUCAGUCCUAGAAUAAUACAGUCUCAACUGAAUGUAAUCAUUACAUAAGCGACCUGGGGAGAAAAAAAUAGAAACAAGGAAAAAAGAAAAUGAGAAGUCUUCAGCACCGCGGACAGCGCCUAGCAAAAGGCCGCCGUGGAUGAUUAAACGAUGACAGGCCAUCAGAGACUGCAGGAGAGCACAUCUCUCUGAUGGCUAUGACGAUCCAGGGAUGUUGCCCUGGGAGCUGAUGGGCUUUGUUCUGAUUGUGUUAUGCAUCCCCUGCAUGCUCGUUUGUUCCGUAGCGAAAGCUGACAGGACCCAGCUCCUCUUCCCAUCACUCUUUCAUUCUUGACAUUUAAUCCACUGAUGCACACCUUGCUCAGUUCCUUCUUAUGCACAGUCCUUGGAAAAUCAAGUAUUUGUUUAUUCAACAUGGACUUUUCACUUUAAGGCUUAGAGAUAUUUAUUUCAAAAUUGCAAAUACUGGAUCAAAAUCCUUUCUACUUUGAAGUCCAAAAACAUAUGAAUCACUGAAUGUAACAACUCCUCAGUCUCAAGAAACAAGAUACAGAGUUCAUGGCCAACUCCACACUCAGUGCAGGGAACAAAAGAAAUUGGUAAUAAUGAGAUACCACUUAAGUGCUAUUUCCCUGUAGGAUUUGCAAGGCCAAAGCUUGGUAAUACUGAAAUAUCAGGUAAGUCCUGUUCCCCUGUAAAGUACGCAAGGCCAAAGUAAGACCUCACUUUCAAGUGCGUUUUCCAGAAACCCAUCAUGCUUAAUGUUAUAUUACUGGUGGAGCACCUGUUCAUUUUCAAGUAAAUUACAUAUUGUCAUGCAUGAAUUAAGCAAGUGAGCAUCUGAAUACAGUGAAGAUUAAAGAUGUUACCUUGCAAACAUUUUGAUAUUUGAAAACCAGUUUUUGAAGAACCUUGAGUAGAAAAAUCUACUUCAGUAUUCUCUUGGGGAGGCUUUGUUCUUGGUCAGCUCCCAUCUGCUUAGCAGUGAAUUGUAAGCCCUGCCAUCAGAUGCUUACCUACAGGUGCUUCAUUAACAGCCAUUGUUAUUGUGGCAUUCACUUGCUCACAAGCUGCCUCAAUCUCCCCAGGGAAAAGCAUAGAUGUCUGAUUUAUGAUGCAGGUUCAAUCUGCUUUAAUGACCAAAGCAGGACUGCAGAAACAGUACUAAAGGAAACUUUAGUUUGCUUGGACCAACUAAUAACUACUUUUGAGUAAACACACACACACAAAACCCUCAAAUAGUAACAGCCUUGAAUACCAGACCAACUUCACAUUUGCUAUCUCAGAAAAUUGGGCUGUGUUAGUUGAAAGCUAAAAUACAGUUAUCUCCAUGUCGCAAUCCAGAAAACAUUUUUGUUCCAGGACUCAGUUCCUAGAAUGGGAACUGGAGGAAAUUCGUGGAUUUGGGCUCAUCAGUGUUAAUAAUCAAGUCCCUCUUCCUGCACACAGUCUAUUAAAGUUUCUACUAAUUGUCAGCAAACAUCUCUUUCUCAGGGCAAAACUUUCCUCAAACAAAACCAGCAGAAGAAUUUGACCUAGUAUAAUUUUAUCUGUUUAACAAGUCAAUUCAAGUUUUCAGAGAGAUGCUUUAUUGUGCCUUUUGCAUAGACACAACAUCAAUGCCUUUUAAAUUAAACUAAGAACCUAAACUGACUCCUGCUUAGACUGUCACUGCCAUAGAGACAGUAUAUGAUUAUCAAACUCCAGUACAAACACAAUCCAACAGUUGUACCUCACUUCUUAUUUGAAUAGAAGAAAUACUAUGCCUCUGCCCUUGGAAAAGACUGCUGAACUCUUUCUGACAGGUAACAGUGCCUACCUACUAAUGGCAAGGCAAUUUUAAAAAUGAACUAACUUCCUGCAUAAGACCAUCAUAUUGAUUUUUCUUCUAUUAGGAGCCUGAAUGUACUUAAACAAUAAUUUCUAGUGGCCCAAUUUGGCAAAUUUCAACAUAAUCCACUAGAAGUAUUGUCAAAUCUCUACAAUUAAAUCAAAAGCACAUCAUUCAGCACUUUUUAACAGCAUUAUUUCCUCAGCAUGAGUGAUCAUCUGAGUUUUUCCACAUUUAAAAUGUCUCACUGGAAGAAAGCGGAGGGGGGUCUGGGGAAGGGGGGAGUGACAACGGAGGGAACAAACAAGCAAAAAAAACCACUUAAUCUCUGGAAACUGCAGUAUAUUCUCUAUCUUCUUGCAAAUACUGGAUACUCAAAACCAGACAAAUUCAAAAAAUCCCUUGGUACAGCAAUCACAUCUUGGCUUAUCCUACAAUUUAAUUCUCUCCACACACUUCACAGCUUGAUGAAGGCUAUGCUGGAUGGUGAGAACGUUUCAUAUGACUUCUCACCUGUUCAACCAGUGCACGCUCCUUGCCCUAGAAUCUCUCCCAUACACACAGUGGGUUUUCUAGGACCAAAUCAAGCUUUUGGCUUUCUCUGCUAACAAUUAUGAUGCAAGUUUUCUAGCAAUCACCAUUGGACCUCUGGUAACCACUAUGGUGGUCUGUGGUUCCCUCAAUGUUAUGCUCUCCUGCUUGCAUUUAACGACACACAACCACAUAGGGGGAAAGGUUACCUGACUCAAAAAAAAGUGAGGAUGCUGCAAUGAACUUCCCUCUCUUUCAUACACACUACACAGAUAUCACAAAUCUCUUCACUAAGAUUAUUUUCCUCACAAAGUGUAUCUUAAUGCUCCUUAGAGACACUCUGUGACUGAUAACUGCAAGAGUGAGAUGAGGUAUAAAUGAAACAUCAGCCCUCUAUUAACAUAUCAUCUACAUUCCAAAAAAGUUCAAGAUUCCAGCCUGUAGGUACUGCUAUGGGUGGAUAAUAGCAUGAGAUAUGGUCAUACAUGUUUAAUUCAUAAACCUAGUAGCUAAAAAUUAUUCAACUGAACUGAAAGUGUAGAGAACUUGAAUAGUGUUCAGAACAAAAUACAGAUGCACUUGCAAAGUUGGUCAGCAUUGUCACUGUAAAUCAAACUUCUAGAGAAAAUUAAAUCCCUGUGAAAGCAGUGGGAAGCUCCCAAGGCAUCAAGGGCAGUACUUCUGUUUGCAUGGGUCGCACUUUGAUUCUCUGCCACCUCUUCAGAGUUGACACAGAGCACAUCACUCCUCCAUGCACAACAGGGUGCAUUUCAGACAGAAAACGCACGACAAAAUGAGGAUAAUAAGGCAGCAUCGUGAUAAACAGUACUGUGCAAGAAAAUAACCAUUUAUUCUCUAGCCAAAAAUGUAAACUCAUAGAUGGGAGAAAGAAGUAAAAUGGGAGUAGCAGAGCAGAGAAGCAAACAAGGGAAUGAAGUGCCAAAGACAGCAGGCAAGAUGAGAAGUAGAGACAAGGCCUGUGAACGAGGAGAAGAAAAAGCAGACAGGGGGAAGGAAAUCAGGGUAAUCAGAGACUGGAAUGUCAUUUGAGAAAGGAGUAAGUUCUUAUUUCUGAUACGUAUUAUCUACUACAGCAGUCUCUCACUGCAACAGAUCAUCUUUCACUUCUUUCCUCAUUUAAGUGAGGGAAUGGGAAAAGAAGAACCUAUAAAAUUUGGGGCUUAUUCUUCUUUCACCAGUGUAUAUGCCAGCUGGAGUUAACAGGUAACAAGCAAAGAAUCAAAACAGAAUCAUGUUUAACGAUCUCCAGUGAUCCCACAAGUGGCAUUUUCAGGAUGUGGAUUGUACAGAACAAUUUCAGAUCUCAGUCAGUCUACUUCCCCUCCUCCUUUCUGCUCCUCAGAAACAAAACUGACAGGCAGUGGAAAAAGAGGCUAAUUGGAACAAAUGGCACAAGUUCCAAGCUGCAGUCAAGUCUUCUUCCCUUCACUUUUCCAAACAAGUCAUUCACAUUAGAGGUCAGAAACCAACAGGAUGGCAGGCAAAGAAAUCACAAAGGCAGACUCUGAAUGGCAUGUUGUAGUAGGACCAAUACAUUGGAUUGAGAGCAUUUUGUGAAGAGUGUUGAUGAGAAGCAGCAGAUUCCAGUGUCGUAGUCAUUUUUUUUACCACAACAGAUGCCUGGUGCUGUCAACUAGCUGCAUUUCUCCUCUGUGAGGUAGCAGUUCCCAUUUUCAGCUUAAAAGGUUUCAAUCUAAGAGUUCUCCUGACAGAGAAAAGUAUGACACUAUGAAUUAGCUGUGGGUCCUCACUCCAGCCACCUGAAAGAAUCUGGAAAUCCUGGUAUCAUCUUCAUGCAACGCAAGGCAACAAAUAAACAAACAAACAAACCAAAAACCCAACAAGCACACCUUCAUUUUUGAGUGUGCUUAGUCUUUAAUUUGUGAGAGAA